Molecule: ribosomal RNA, 450 nt
Filed under: uncultured bacterium
Lineage: Bacteria
Description: partial 16S ribosomal RNA
Rfam family: Bacterial small subunit ribosomal RNA
Source: RNAcentral
GUGGGGAAUAUUGGACAAUGGGCGCAAGCCUGAUCCAGCCAUGCCGCGUGUGUGAAGAAGGCCUUCGGGUUGUAAAGCACUUUUGUCCGGGAAGAAAUCUUCCAGGUUAAUACCCUGGGAGGCUGACGGUACCGGAAGAAUAAGCACCGGCUAACUUCGUGCCAGCAGCCGCGGUAAUACGAAGGGUGCAAGCGUUACUCGGAAUUACUGGGCGUAAAGCGUGCGUAGGUGGUUCGUUAAGUCUGCCGUGAAAGCCCCGGGCGCAACCUGGGAAUGGCGGUGGAUACUGGCGGGCUAGAGUGCGGUAGAGGGUGGUGGAAUUCCCGGUGUAGCAGUGAAAUGCGUAGAGAUCGGGAGGAACAUCUGUGGCGAAGGCGGCCACCUGGACCAGCACUGACACUGAGGCACGAAAGCGUGGGGAGCAAACAGGAUUAGAAACCCUAGUAGUCC